GCAAGUCGAGCGCCCACUUCGGUGGGAGCGGCGGACGGGUUAGUAACGCGUGGGAACAUACCCUUUUCUACGGAAUAGCCUCGGGAAACUGAGAGUAAUACCGUAUACGCCCUUCGGGGGAAAGAUUUAUCGGUGAAGGAUUAGCCCGCGUAAGAUUAGAUAGUUGGUGGGGUAAUGGCCUACCAAGUCUACGAUCUUUAGCUGGUUUGAGAGGAUGAUC
This 220-nucleotide ribosomal RNA is filed under the name uncultured bacterium. RNAcentral describes it as "partial 16S ribosomal RNA". It matches the Rfam family "Bacterial small subunit ribosomal RNA", at positions 57 to 305 of the family's 1533-position model. The record is from RNAcentral.